RNAcentral lists this long non-coding RNA (4229 nucleotides) under Lupinus angustifolius (narrow-leaved blue lupine). RNAcentral describes it as "long non-coding RNA (LANG_LNC000242)". Lineage: Eukaryota; Viridiplantae; Streptophyta; Magnoliopsida; Fabales; Fabaceae. The record is from RNAcentral.
UGAACACCGAAAGCACUGAAAUUACUCUGCAAAAAGUUGUUUGGAAACACGUGAGUAAAGAGAAAAAGUAUUGUGCAAAAGGAAGAGAGAGAAAAGGGUGACAAGGAAGGAGAUCCAAUGUGGACAGGCUCGUCUCUAUCUUAUGCUCCCGUUUUCAUACUGAUUUACAACCUUCAGGUCUAAGUGCUUUUUCUAGUCUUCCGUUGACCCACAGAUUAGCUAAUCACACUACGAAACAUCGCAUGGUUUCAGUGAGCCUCAACACACUGAAUCGAUACACCCAUGAGAGCAAAUGAUUCACCACGGAUGUGUGCACAAUUCGCCUAUGUGCCUCCUCCCCUCCAACCAGCAGCACUCCGCCACGUGUCAGGUGCAUCCAGUCAGCAUCUCUUAGCCCAUCAUGCUACGCCACAUGAUAAACACUCAACACUCUAAUAUAAUCUCCUACAAUGCAAAUGUCAUAUUUUAAAUGCAAUAAGGUAUACUUUCAUUUAUUCUAGUCUUCCUUUUAUUUAAUUUAGCAAUACAAUAUUGUUUAAUAAAUAAAAGUCAAAUAUUUUUUUUUGUAAAUAAUUUUAUUAAUUAUGUUAUACAUUAAUUAAUAUUAAUAGUAACCAAUUAAUAAUAUAAUAAUUUAUGGAAUAAGUAACUAAGAACAACUAAGACAAUCCCUUUAGUAUAUCUAAUAAUCAACAAACCUUUUUCACUUUUUAGCAAUUAAUUGGGUUUCUUUAUUUUCUUUAAUUAAUAAAAAAUUAUCAAUAAUAAAAAUAAUUAGAACAUUUUGCUAUGACAAAAAUGAUUAUUAAAAUUACAUGAAGAUUUUUAUAAUGAAAUUAUUUUGGGGAUUAAUCAAAGAUGGAGAAACAGUCGCCUUGGAGGCUUCUUUCUUCUCAACUCAUAUUCGAAAGGUCGCGCUACGCCACUUCUUUUCAUUCAAUUGAUUCCCAAAAUAUAAAAUAAAUCAUUUUUAAUUAAAUUAACGUUCAAUUAAAACUCUUUUCAUGAAUACACAAAAAAAAUAAAUAUUUUCAUUAAAAAAAAUUGCCAACCACAUAAAGGAUGGAGGGACGGUCGCUCUGGAGGCUUCUUUCCUCUCAACUCAUCCUUCGGAUGGUCGCGCUACGCCUCUUCGGUCCUAAUUAAAAUACCCAACCAAUAAACAUUUUUCUACAAAAGAACUACGUAAACCUUGAUUCCCUUAAUAGGGUACAUAUGACCAAGGUACAUCUUGUCAGGCAUAACUAAAACAAAUAAAUAGUUUUGCUCCUUUAAAUUAAUUAAUUAACUAGAUAAUUUAACAAUAAAAUAAUAAUAAUAAUAAAGUCAUAUAUUUUAGUGAAGGGUACCACCUAAGGCAAACGAGUAGGGUGCUAAUACAUUCUCUACCUUGUAACCGACUCCCGAACCUGAAUAUAAAAAAUUCAAAAGCCCAUGGUAAGUGGGCUUUAAAGAUUUUUCUACAUUUUUAAUAAUAAAAUGUAGUGGCGACUCUAAUAAAGUCGUGCAUUGAAAAUCGGGGCGCGACAGUUGGCGACUCCACUGGGAACUUUUUUGAGAGAGUCUGGCUCAUAAUCAAUAAAAUGUGUGAAUGUUUGUUUAUUAUUAUUAUUAUUAUUAUUAUUAUUAUUAUUAUUUUUUGGUUAAUUAGUUAAUUUCCAACAACACAAAAAUUGCAUGUUUAAUUAUUAAUCGUAUGUUAUGAUAUCAAUAGCAUUACAUGUUUAAUUAUUAAUUGUAUGUUAUAAAUAUGAAUUGCACGCUUAAUUAUUAAUUUUAUGUUAUAAAGAUGAAUUGCAUGCUUAUAAUAAUUAUACAUUGUAUGUAUGAAUUAUAUGUUAUAAAUAUUAAGUGAAUGUUUUAUGUAUGUAUUAUUUUUGUUAUUGGGCGAUAUAUGUACACAUUUUAGGCACACACAUAUGCCCUACACCCGAGUAUCAGUGAUAUCUUUUUGAAUAGAAGAGACACUAGCCUCACUGGUCGUGGUCUUUGCCGCUUCUAAGUGUUGGUGAUGUGAACCACUCAUAUUGUUAUCUCAUAUUAUGAGUUAGCCGCUCGAGCUGAUCUCCUGUUUCUGACAUCAUAAUAUUUGGGUUUCUCUAUUGGAGAGAGUUGCAAUAUAGGCACCUUAUAGAGAGUCUAGAACUUGCUAAUGGCGUCUAUUGUAUGUUUGAACCAUAUUAUAGGAUGUUGUACUUGUUGUGAAUCUUGUGAUAUGUAUCAUGUUUGUAUUAUAUCAUAUUGUUUAGAAUUUUGUCAUGUAAAAUAAAAAUCAUGUAAAAUAUUGCACCCUUGAGGGGAAUUCCUAUUCUCCUAACAAGGAGAUUAUCAUAAAAAUAAAUAUGGCAAUUUAUUUUGGCCCUAAGCUAUCCCGAAUGAUAAAAAUAAAAGAAAUAUAAUUUGAAAAAAUAUAUAUAUGAUAAGUGCCAAAAGUAUACACUUUUCACCAUCAUUUUAUGGCACUUAUCCUAUGCAAAUUAUAGAAAAUCGACUUAAAAUCACAUUUUUUAGGUAAAUUAUAGAAAACCAACUUAAAAUCACACUUUUUAGGUAAAUCACACUUAAACCAUUAUUUGUGUUUUGACAUGUUUACAUGAUUUAUUUUACUACGCAAUUCCUUGUGGUUCGACAUAACCUUAUACUAUACUACAAUUGAAUCUUGAAAGAGGUAUAAAUUGUAAAAUAGUAAAGUGUUAUCAAGAAAUUUAUUUGUUGAAAACACCUUUUAAUAUACAAAAGUGAUGAAACUAACUUACUAACUUUUAUUUAUUGUUAUUUACUUUCCGCAUUUUAUUUAUUCAUUAAUACCAACCUUCCUUAACGAAGAAGUUUGGUUUGUUAAUAAAAUGAACCCGAAAGGGAGUAAAUAAAUAAAAGUCACUAAAUUUAUUAUUCUUUUGUUAUUUAUUUAUUUAUUUGUUAUCUAACAACUAACUAUUCAUCACUUUUAUAUAUUAGAAUACCAUUAAACUGAUAUUGGAAUUUAUUCCACAAAACCGAGAUGGUAUUCAAAGGUACUUAAUAAUUAUGUAAUAGGUAAUUAUAGGUAAUUGCUUCGAUACCAUUAUACCGGCGUUAGAAUUUAUUCUAACAAAGCCGAGAUGGGGCAAAGAAGGAAUGACUUAUUUAAUUAUUAAGAAAGUAAGUUGUAAUUGGAAUAUUCUUUAAACCAUUAUACCGGCGUUGGAAUUCAUUUCAACAAAGCCAAGAUGGCGAACAAAGAAUAAAGCCGAGUUCUCUUACUUACAAAAGGAACAUAAUUAAAAUGAGAGUAUUAAUCUUUCAACAAAUUGACACUGCUGUCAAGACGAUUUGUUGAGGGGGAUAAACUCCCAACAAUGAAAAUAAAAUAAAUACCCCAUUACACCGCAUUUCAACAAAUUGACGCUGUUGCCGGGGAAUUGCUUUAAUAGUAAAACAUUUCAUAUUUAUGUGUCAUUAAUCAAAUAAUUGUGCAUAACAAUUUUCUUUCUCUUUUGUAUAAAUUUAUUUUUCCUUUUGUACAUCUUUAUUUUUAUGUUUUGUACAUUUGAAAAAAUAAAAAACUCAAAAAAAGUGAAUUAGUGGAGUGAAAACCCACUAGUUAAGAAACACUUUAUUGUUGUUAUAAAAUUUUUAGGAGAUGUGGAAGUACCCCUCAUCAUCUUUUUCAAAAGAACAACAUAAAAGGGAUUGAAUUAAACAAGGAUUAAUGGUUGGAAUUUUUCUUCAAAAAGGGAAGCCACUUGAAUCUUUAAAGGUUAAGUAUUUACCAUGUACUUUUUGAUGCUGAUACUUUAUCUUGUGAUACUUUAACCAAACAUAUCCAUCAACAUGACUUAGUAAAUGAUUUUGAAAUUGUCAAAUUAAUUUUUAAAAAUUAAGAGCAUGCUUGUUACAUUUGUGCCAAAAUUGAAUUUUUCCAAACUUGAGAACUCCUUAAACAAAAUAAAUUCAUGAAAUUCUGAAUGGAUUUAUUUAUGGAUGUUUGGUGUGAUAAAAUGUGUUUUGAAGUUCCAUAAAUUCUGUUUGGACUUCCAUUUUAUCACUUGGAUUUGAAAUAUGAUUGAAAUUUUUCUAAACAUCAAUUUUCAUGAAAAAACAUGCUGUUUGGUUGGAUUUCUCUCAAUCAAAUUUAAUUCAGGAACUUAGUGUCUUAGGAAAUUAUAAAUUCAUGUGAAUUGUUAGACUAACUUCAAAGCAAAAGAAAAAUUGAUAGUUCGAAAUGAUUUACAGGAAAACAAGUCCAA